Molecule: ribosomal RNA, 176 nt
Filed under: uncultured Geobacter sp.
Lineage: Bacteria; Pseudomonadati; Thermodesulfobacteriota; Desulfuromonadia; Geobacterales; Geobacteraceae
Description: partial 16S ribosomal RNA
Rfam family: Bacterial small subunit ribosomal RNA
Source: RNAcentral
GACCAGGGCUACACACGUGCUACAAUGGCCGGUACAAAGAGUUGCAAUACCGCGAGGUGGAGCUAAUCUCAUAAGCCGGUCUCAGUUCGGAUUGGAGUCUGCAACUCGACUCCAUGAAGUUGGAAUCGCUAGUAAUCGCGGAUCAGCACGCCGCGGUGAAUACGUUCCCGGGCCUU